Molecule: ribosomal RNA, 190 nt
Filed under: uncultured bacterium
Lineage: Bacteria
Description: partial 16S ribosomal RNA
Rfam family: Bacterial small subunit ribosomal RNA
Source: RNAcentral
CUCGACUCAUGAAGCUGGAAUCGCUAGUAAUCGCAGAUCAGAGUGCUGCGGUGAAUACGUUCCCGGGUCUUGUACACACCGCCCGUCACACCAUGGGAGUCGGAAAUGCCCGAAGCCGGUGACCAAACCAAUAAGGAAGGAGCCGUCGAAGGCAGGUCUGAUAACUGGGGUGAAGUCGUAACAAGGUAAC